Long non-coding RNA from Oncorhynchus keta (chum salmon), 414 nucleotides. RefSeq lists it as uncharacterized. The record is from RefSeq and is a predicted model, not a curated record. The transcript has 3 exons. Lineage: Eukaryota; Metazoa; Chordata; Actinopteri; Salmoniformes; Salmonidae.
UUCUUCUUCUUCUUCUUUAACAAGGUGUUGUUAUGGUAAUACUGGUAGCACAGAUAUAUGCUGGCAACCCAACUUUCCUUCCUUCUUCUUCUUUAACAAGGUGUUGUUAUGGUAAUACUGGUAGCACAGAUAUAUGCUAGCAACCCAACCUUCCUUCCUUCCUUCUUCUUCUUCUUCUUCUUCUUCUUCUUUAACAAGGUGUUGUUAUGGUAAUACUGGUAGAACAGAUAUAUGCUGGCAACCCAACUUUCCUUCCUUCUUCUUCUUUAACAAGGUGUUGUUAUGGUAAUACUGGUAGCACAGAUAAAUGCUGGCAACCCAACUUUUCCUUCCUUCUUCUUCUUCUUCUUCUUCUUCUUCUUCUUCUUUAACAAGGUGUUGUUAUGGUAAUACUGGUAGCACAGAUAUAUGCUG